GACCGUGGCCUUGACCCCCAAUGUCGAAGUUGCUACCAUCAUUGCUGCUGCAUUUUACGGACUUUGGAAUCUCUUCUCAGGAUUCAUCAUCGCCCGACCUGUAAGUUCUUGAUUAUCAUACAACGUCAAUUUCAAUCAAAAAUAUCUUAGUUGCAAUAUUUUUUUCAAAAAUACUGUGCAACCUCAGUUGCAACUGUUCUAAGUUCUAACCGAAAAAUCUAAAUACUUUAAACUAGUUUUGCAACCUCAUAUGCAAUUUUAACCGUAUUUUUUGAGAAAGGAUUUCAAAGAUUUUUGCACAUUUUCAAGGACUUAACAUAUUUUUUUCAAAAAAAAAACAAAUAAACAGGCUUUUCUCAAAAAUACCUAAAUUACAAAAAAUAAUUCCAAAAAUACGACGUUAUCUUAUAUGCAACUUCAGUUACAAUUGUUUUAACCUGAAAAUCAGCUACUUUCAACCAGUUUUGCAACCUCACAUGCAACUUUAAUCGUACUUUUGUCCCGACAUCUAACGUUAUGUUUUUGGCCUUACUGUUCGACAACAGAGCAUGCCUGUCUGGUGGAGAUGGUUU
This 572-nucleotide long non-coding RNA is filed under the name Daucus carota (carrot). Its description in RNAcentral is "long non-coding RNA (DCAR_LNC005324)". Lineage: Eukaryota; Viridiplantae; Streptophyta; Magnoliopsida; Apiales; Apiaceae. The record is from RNAcentral.